UCGACGAUGAUCCCAGCUUGCUGGGGGAUUAGUGGCGAACGGGUGAGUAACACGUGAGUAACCUGCCCUUAACUCUGGGAUAAGCCUGGGAAACUGGGUCUAAUACCGGAUAUGACUCCUCAUCGCAUGGUGGGGGGUGGAAAGCUUUUUUGUGGUUUUGGAUGGACUCGCGGCCUAUCAGCUUGUUGGUGAGGUAAUGGCUUACCAAGGCGACGACGGGUAGCCGGCCUGAGAGGGUGACCGGCCACACUGGGACUGAGACACGGCCCAGACUCCUACGGGAGGCAGCAGUGGGGAAUAUUGCACAAUGGGCGCAAGCCUGAUGCAGCGACGCCGCGUGAGGGAUGACGGCCUUCGGGUUGUAAACCUCUUUCAGUAGGGAAGAAGCGAAAGUGACGGUACCUGCAGAAGAAGCGCCGGCUAACUACGUGCCAGCAGCCGCGGUAAUACGUAGGGCGCAAGCGUUAUCCGGAAUUAUUGGGCGUAAAGAGCUCGUAGGCGGUUUGUCGCGUCUGCC
Molecule: ribosomal RNA, 517 nt
Filed under: bacterium 11-L049640-122-012-C02
Lineage: Bacteria
Description: bacterial SSU rRNA
Rfam family: Bacterial small subunit ribosomal RNA
Source: RNAcentral